This 28-nucleotide non-coding RNA is filed under the name Cricetulus griseus (Chinese hamster). The record is from RNAcentral. Lineage: Eukaryota; Metazoa; Chordata; Mammalia; Rodentia; Cricetidae.
CUCCGAGGCUGGAAUGGGCUACAGCAGC